RNAcentral lists this ribosomal RNA (389 nucleotides) under Staphylococcus aureus. RNAcentral's name for it is "bacterial SSU rRNA". It matches the Rfam family "Bacterial small subunit ribosomal RNA", at positions 220 to 601 of the family's 1533-position model. The record is from RNAcentral. Lineage: Bacteria; Bacillati; Bacillota; Bacilli; Caryophanales; Staphylococcaceae.
UAUAGAUGGAUCCGCGCUGCAUUAGCUAGUUGGUAAGGUAACGGCUUACCAAGGCAACGAUGCAUAGCCGACCUGAGAGGGUGAUCGGCCACACUGGAACUGAGACACGGUCCAGACUCCUACGGGAGGCAGCAGUAGGGAAUCUUCCGCAAUGGGCGAAAGCCUGACGGAGCAACGCCGCGUGAGUGAUGAAGGUCUUCGGAUCGUAAAACUCUGUUAUUAGGGAAGAACAUAUGUGUAAGUAACUGUGCACAUCUUGACGGUACCUAAUCAGAAAGCCACGGCUAACUACGUGCCAGCAGCCGCGGUAAUACGUAGGUGGCAAGCGUUAUCCGGAAUUAUUGGGCGUAAAGCGCGCGUAGGCGGUUUUUUAAGUCUGAUGUGAAAGC